RNAcentral lists this ribosomal RNA (636 nucleotides) under Aspergillus vitricola. RNAcentral describes it as "eukaryotic LSU rRNA". It matches the Rfam family "Eukaryotic large subunit ribosomal RNA", at positions 1 to 649 of the family's 3401-position model. Lineage: Eukaryota; Fungi; Ascomycota; Eurotiomycetes; Eurotiales; Aspergillaceae. The record is from RNAcentral.
GGUUGACCUCGGAUCAGGUAGGGAUACCCGCUGAACUUAAGCAUAUCAAUAAGCGGAGGAAAAGAAACCAACCGGGAUUGCCUCAGUAACGGCGAGUGAAGCGGCAAAAGCUCAAAUUUGAAAUCUGGCCCUUCCGGGGUCCGAGUUGUAAUUUGUAGAGGAUGCUUCGGGUGCGGCCCCUGUCUAAGUGCUCUGGAACGGGCCAUCGGAGAGGGUGAGAAUCCCGUCUGGGACGGGGUGUCCGUGUCCGUGUGAAGCUCCUUCGACGAGUCGAGUUGUUUGGGAAUGCAGCUCUAAAUGGGUGGUAAAUUUCAUCUAAAGCUAAAUACAGGCCGGAGACCGAUAGCGCACAAGUAGAGUGAUCGAAAGAUGAAAAGCACUUUGAAAAGAGAGUUAAACAGCACGUGAAAUUGUUGAAAGGGAAGCACUUGCAACCAGACUCGCCCACGGGGUUCAGCCGGCUUUCGGGCCGGUGUACUUCCCCGGGGGCGGGCCAGCGUCGGUUUGGGCGGCCGGUUAAAGGCCCCCGGAAUGUAACACCCCUCGGGGUGUCUUAUAGCCGGGGGUGCCAUGCGGCCAGCCCAGACCGAGGAACGCGCUUCGGCACGGACGCUGGCAUAAUGGUUGUAAAUGACC